GGAUCAUCUGCUGUGGGUGUUCCUGAUCUUUGAGCCAUGAUAAUGUUACUGGUUGGAUGUCAGGAGCAGGCCAUGUGGAUGAUUAAAAGAUGAAUAUCAUAUACAGCAUGGAUAUGUUGGACAAAAAGAUGAUUCACAUCCCAGACAGAAUGGAGCAGCACAUUUAUUAAAAGCCAGAAGCUAGAAGACGAGGAAAGAAGAGGUGGUUAAAGAAAGAUACAGUAACAGCAGUAAUAUCUAACAGGAAGGCUACAGGGGAAAAUACAGAAAUUCCAUAAAGAACAAACACUGUAACUCAAAACCAAAGCUUUGCUAGUCACUAGUGCCCGCUACAUCCUAACAGAUGCAGCUGGAGAGCCUGGGGUGAGAACAUGAGCAGUCUAUAAUCAGAAAAUCCCUUUGGGAUAAAUUGACAAAAAUAUAAACCACUCCACAAAGGAGAAAUUGUAAAUGAUGGCAUGAAUCCAACAGUGAAGAAAUCAGAAUACGUUGCUUUUGUGAGGGGCAGCUGCUGAUUUUCUCUGAGCUCCGUUUCCAGCCUUCACAUGCUCUGCUAUUCAUCACAGGGUAAAUUCUGACUAUAGGAGGUACUGACAGAAGAUUAGGGAAGAACAGAGGGCUAAAUGUUUAUUGACUUCUUGAAAAAUGCUAUGUGUCUUGCCAGACUUAGCUUACAAGUUUGGUUAAAGAGAGACUGACAUGAGCAUAAAGGAAGGGACAUUGAAAGAGGCAGAGAUGAAGGAAGAAAUUGUAACUUACUCCUUUUAUCCCACCCAUCAAAGGAAAGACAAGUUGACAUUCCCAGGGUGGAUGGAUCCAGGCAGGACAGGAUCAGAAGUUGCAGUCUUAAUUGCACCAACUCACGCAUGUCACCAGCCGAGUAGUAUUGAUUCUGCAACAAACUGAGAAGAAACCUGGCGAUUCACAACAGAGAGCUGAGAAAUCCUAAGUCUGGAUUCCAGCUAAAUGGGAGCAGACUAAAUAGAGCGGCAGUCGGCGAACUACAUGUAGCCCAUGAACAAAAUCCGGUCCAGCACGUGUGUUUUUUUUUACGGCCCACAAAUGAGUCUGUCUUUACAGAUGAAUGUUAAAACUGGGUUGACAAGAGAGAACACUCACUUUGAACCGCAACUAAACAAAAUAUUAUCACCUUUCCCCUCAAAAAAGGUUUUUGUUCUUCUCAUUAGUAAAUUUGUAUUAUGACAAAA
Long non-coding RNA from Homo sapiens (human), 1208 nucleotides. Ensembl annotates it as long intergenic non-protein coding RNA 2492. The record is from Ensembl. Lineage: Eukaryota; Metazoa; Chordata; Mammalia; Primates; Hominidae.